GUGAAAUGGGGUGUCUGCAGUCUCUGGGCGAAGUACAGCAGCUCUGUUUGUGAGUGGUCAGGCUAGGAACAGUGACACUGAGAAGCGCGUUCAUGAAAAUUCUCAAUUUUUUUCUUUCAGGUUGGAACAUUAUCGCUAUUUUACAAGAAAAAUAGCAUAAAAAUUGAUUUUAAACAGAGUUUGACAUGCUUCGAAGUACGGUAAUGGAAUAUUUUUAAAUUCUUUGUCACGAAAUGUGCUCGCACGUCACCCUUCGGAUACUGACCUGAACGCACAAACAAAACUGAACAAAAAUUUGAAUAUAACUAUGGAUUAUUUGGAACCAAAACAACAUUUGUUGUUGAAGUAGAAGUCCUGGGAGUGCAUUCUGACGAAGAAUAGCAAAGGACCAGAGCCCUAGGACCAUGCCUCAGGACUACCUGGCAUGAUGACUCCUUGCUGUCCCCAGUCCACCUGGCCGUGCUGCUGCUCCAGUUUCAACUGUUCUGCCUGCGGCUAUGGAACCCUGACCUGUUCACCGGACGUGCUACCUGUCAUAGACCUGCUGUUUUCAACUCUCUAGAGACAGCAGGAGCGGUAGAGAUACUCUCAAUGAUCGGCUAUGAAAAGCCAACUGACAUUUACUCCUGAGGUGCUGACUUGUUGCACCCUCGACAACUACUGUGAUUAUUAUUAUUUGACCAUGCUGGUUAUUUAUGAACAUUUGAACAUCUUGGCCAUGUUCUGUUAUAACCGUCACCCAGCACAGCCAGAAGAGGACUGGCCACCCCUCAUAGCCUGGUUCCUCUCUAGGUUUCUUCCUAGGUUUUGGAUUUUCUAUGGAGUUUUUCCUAGCCACCGUGCUUCUACACCUGCAUUGCUUGCUGUUUGGGGUUUUAGGCUGGGUUUCUGUACAGCACUUUGAUAUAUCAGCUGAUGUAUGAAGGGCUAUAUAAAUACAUUUGAUUUGAUGGGAUCUACCUCUUUUUAAAAGAGGCCAUCAAAACUUUGCUUUCUCACGCAAUUGCAAAACAUAGCCUAUAGAAUGGGCGUAUAGGAACACCUAUUUAAUGCCAUGCAUUAACCUGUUAUGGCUAGGGGGCAGUAUUUUCACGGCUGGAUAAAAAACGUACCCGAUUUAAUCUGGUUACUACUCCUGCCCAGUAACUAGAAUAUGCAUAUAAUUAUUGGCUUUGGAUAGAAAACACUCCAAAGUUUCUAAAACUGUUUGAAUGGUGUCCGAGUAUAACAGAACUCAAAUGGCAGGUCAAAACCUGAGAGAUUCCUUUACAGGAAGUGGCCUGUCUGACCAUUUCUUGAACUUCUUUGCCAUCUCAUUCAAUUACAAAGGAUCUCUGCUCUAACGUGACACUUCCUACGUCUUCCAUAGGCUCUCAGAGCCCGGGAAAAAACAGAAUGUCGUCAUCCCAGCCCCAGGCUGAAACACAUUAUCGCCUUUCUCAAGUGGCCGAUCAAGGGACUGUGGGCUUAGGCGCGUGCCCUGGCUGCCCCCGUCUUUGUGAUUUUUCCUAUUUUUUCCCCUCUCUCGCUGAGCAACAGGUGAUACUAUUUCGCUCAAACUCAGAAGCCAGGGCUCUCAUGAAGUGUUUGAUUUGAUUUUGCAUUGAUGUCAGAGUGAUUAGAGGGACAAUAGAGCACUGUGUACCAAGCCAUUAGCAAGUUUGGUCAUCAGUUGCAGACCGAUCAGCAGCAUCAUAGUGCAGUUUUGGAGAAGGGUUAGAAUAAUUUGAAUGUGUUAGAAUAACGACUAAAGUGUUCCACUCUGAAAUUGUAGGAUAGUAUGAAAUGUUUGAGAAUCAUGAGAAGAUAAAACCAGGAUGUGGGUAGAUCUGUUAGUAUUGUAAUACUAUGAUGUUAUAUUCUUUAGUAGGGAUGUAAACAGAGUGAAGUUGUAGAGUAGAUUAUAGAAAAACAUGAGGG
RNAcentral lists this long non-coding RNA (1920 nucleotides) under Salmo salar (Atlantic salmon). Its description in RNAcentral is "lncRNA (ENSSSAG00000114192.1)". Lineage: Eukaryota; Metazoa; Chordata; Actinopteri; Salmoniformes; Salmonidae. The record is from RNAcentral.